RNAcentral lists this ribosomal RNA (497 nucleotides) under uncultured bacterium. RNAcentral describes it as "partial 16S ribosomal RNA". It matches the Rfam family "Bacterial small subunit ribosomal RNA", at positions 28 to 507 of the family's 1533-position model. The record is from RNAcentral.
GAUGAACGCUGGCGGCGUGCCUAAUACAUGCAAGUCGAGCGAACAGACGAUGAGCGUGUUCCCCUGACGUUAGCGGCUGACGGGUGAGUAACACGUGGAUAACCUACUUAUAAUACUUGGAUAACUUCGGGAAACCGGAGCUAAUACCGGAUAAUAUAUUGAACCGCAUGGUUCAAUAGUUCAUGACGGUUUUGCUGUCACUUUUAGACGGAUCCGCGCCGCAUUAGCUAGUUGGUAAGGUAACGGCUUACCAAGGCAACGAUGCGUAGCCGACCUGAGAGGAUGAUCAGCCACACUGGAACUGAGACACGGUCCAGACUCCUACGGGAGGCAGCAGUAGGGAAUAUUCCGCAAUGGGCGAAAGCCUGACGGAGCAACGCCGCGUGAGUGAUGAAGGUCUUCGGAUCGUAAAACUCUGUUAUUAGGAAAGAAAAAAUGUGUAAGUAAAUAUGCACGUCUUGACGGUACCUAAUCAGAAAGCCACGGCUAACUACGUG